Molecule: RNA transcript, 3265 nt
Organism: Carassius gibelio (silver crucian carp)
Lineage: Eukaryota; Metazoa; Chordata; Actinopteri; Cypriniformes; Cyprinidae
Gene name: 5'-AMP-activated protein kinase subunit gamma-2
Exons: 16
Source: RefSeq, a predicted model, not a curated record
CCACACAGAGAACUGGAGAGCAUCUCAUCCUCUUUACCUUUUCUUUUCGGGCGAAAGUGUUUUUUUCAGACACCGACAGAAAUGAAUCCAAUUUUAUUUUGUACAACAGCCUGAUAAAAUAAAAAUAAAUAUCGAUAUAUUUUUAAUACCACUUAAAAAUAUAACUCUGUUGCUCUGAUAAAGGAGCAAUGCAUAUUGUUCUCUUUGCCAGCGCUAAAUAAGCUUGUGCCAAAGAGCGACACAUUAUUUUUGGGAAAUGGGCAGCACUGCAAUGGAUCCUAAGAAGAAAGAUGAGAAGAAAAAUUCAAGAAAAAGGAGAUCGCUUCGGAUAAACAUGCCUGACUUGGGCUCCUUCGCCAUGCCGUUCCUAGAAGGAGAUGCAGAAAAUGCCAAGGACGGCGUGUGCAAGGGGGAGCUUAGCUGCCGUUCAGCCAGCCCGAGCAAAAACUUCUUCAGCCGGGGGCCGUUUAGUCGGCCCUCUAGCCCCAUGUCCGCUCCGGCCCGAUUCCGAAACAGCCCUGGAUCUCCCAAACCCAUCUUCCCCUACUCCUCCACCCACGACUCGUCGCCCAAGUGUUCACGUCGCCGCAGCUUCACCGGAAUCUUUCGCUCGUCCUCCAAAGACUCCACGAAUCCCUCCACGUCUCCUGUCAGCAUCAAACUUUUCUCUCGGGCCAGGAAAGCCUCUGGUAUCUCCUCAUCACCCACCACUCCAACACAAGUGACCAAGCAGACUUCGGCGUUUAUUCUGGAAGCCAGUCGGAAUGACACUGUGCAUCGUUCCUCCUCCUCCCCCCUCGACACGGGACAGCACCACAGCCCGCCUGCUACAAAACCACCACCCUGUCCCUGCUCAGCACCUAUAUCUACCUCACAUAUGGUCCACGGUUUGUCUGAAGACAUGCUGGAGAAACUCGAUCUCGAGGAUGAAGCUGUCGAACAAUCUGAGAGUGACAUUUACAUGCGGUUUAUGAAGUCACAUAAGUGCUAUGACAUCGUCCCUACCAGCUCCAAGCUCGUGGUCUUUGACACAACGCUGCAGGUAAAAAAGGCCUUUUUUGCCUUGGUGGCCAAUGGGGUCCGAGCUGCCCCUCUGUGGGAGACCAAGAAACAGAGUUUUGUGGGCAUGCUAACCAUCACAGACUUCAUCAACAUACUUCACAGAUACUACAAAUCACCCAUGGUACAAAUCUAUGAGCUUGAGGAGCAUAAAAUUGAGACGUGGAGAGAGCUCUAUCUACAGGAAACAUUUAAGCCUUUAGUGAACAUAUUUCCAGAUGCAAGCAUAUUUGAUGCGGUGUAUUCACUGAUCAAAAACAAGAUCCACCGGUUACCCGUCAUCGACCCUGUCAGUGGAAAUGCACUUUACAUUUUGACGCACAAAAGGAUCCUGAAAUUCCUUCAGCUGUUUGUGUGUGAGAUGCCAAAGCCCGCCUUUAUGAAGCAGACACUGGAAGAGCUGAGCAUCGGGACCUACAGCAACAUCGCCUUCAUCCACCCCGACACGCCAAUCAUCAAAGCACUCAGCAUCUUUGUGGAGAGGAGGGUGUCAGCACUGCCUGUGGUGGACGAGUCAGGAAAAGUUGUAGAUAUUUAUUCCAAAUUUGAUGUCAUUAAUCUUGCUGCUGAAAAGACGUACAACAACCUGGACAUUAGCGUGACACAGGCACUGAUGCACAGGUCACAGUACUUUGAAGGGGUCAUGAAAUGCAACCGAUUUGAGACACUGGAAACAAUAGUAGAUCGGAUAGUCAAGGCUGAGGUGCACAGACUGGUGGUGGUGGAUGAGAAUGGCAGCAUCGUGGGCAUCGUCUCUCUGUCGGACAUCCUCCAGGCACUUGUUCUCAACCCCGCAGGUAUCAAUGCUCAGCAUUCCUAAAGCACAUUUCCAGCAGGACCCUCCUCCUCCCAUCCUCUCUCGUCCGAGCCACAGGUAUGACCAGGAAAGAGAGCGAAGCAGAGACGGAGUGAUGCUUCUUGUGGAGAUUACUGGGUCAUGUGACGUUGCUGUAAGAGACUGACGUGGAAGCAGAGACCACAUGUUUGGGCCUCAUCUCAGAGUGAAAGAGUGGAACCAGGGAACUUGACCUAGAUGUGUGCUGUCAGAGAGCAAAGGAAGAGUUAUUUGGUCUGUUAUCUGAUUUCUAGAUGGCAGUAUGGGGCGAUGAAGGUGUAUCAUCUCUUAUUCAGAAGGAUACUGUGAACUCUUCCUAUUAUAUCACACUAAGCUUCUGCACGCACACUAUGAUAACUAUACCUUUAGCUAGACCUAAAUCUACGCCAUCUGGUGUUUGAAUAGUGUCUGCACACAGACUACGGACUGUACCAUAAUCGCCUCUGUUGGAGGGGGGUGUCUGUGCGUUUGCAGGACAUUCAGUAAUAAUCUCAGUAUUCAGUGCAUGUUAUGACUGUUUGUUCCUUGUGUAUAUACGAUUUUCGGCUUGUGGCGUAUGAGCCAGUUCACAUAUUUGUACUUUUGACUACUCCUCCUGCAUUUAGGAAUUCGUUUAAUCUUUCUCCGCCACAGUCCCUUUGUAAAUGCAGACAGAAAUGGUUUCCUCUGUAUCUGUCUUUGGUGCCUUCUGUCCAGCAGUUAUCGCCCACUACUGGUUGCCAAUAGAACAAGAUUAAUCGAAUGUUUAAAUAUAUCAAAGUGAAUGUUACUGUUGUUUAAAAAAAAAAAAAAACAAAAGGCCCAUUUUGCUGUUUUAGUGUGUGUCACUGAUUUUAUUUAUUGCAGAGCUCUACAUUUCUUCACUUUGGGUGUUGAUUAUUUACUUGAUGUUUUUGAAAUGAUGCUGUAAAGGAAAAUGAAAAUGUUUAUUUAUUUAUAUUUAACACUUUUGUAAUUUGAAAAGCGAUAUCUAAGUGUGAGAUGGAAAGAUCUAUGAAGCCCCUAUGCAGUAAAACCACGUGCUGAUGAUCAGUGACUUGAUGUUCAAUGCAAUUCAACCUUAAAAUCCUACGCUUUUUUCUUUUCCUGUCCAUGAGGUGACUGACCUCUUGUUUGUACUGUACACGCACGCAGAGCUUCUGUCUGAGGAAUAUACAAGUGCCAGAGAAAGGUCUAUUUUUCUGUGUGUUCGAUGAGUGGAAUACUUCACAUUUUUAGUUUUUGGCAUUUGUUUUGCAGAUAUGUUAAUGUUGUUGAUAUGAAAGAGUAAUGUCCAGAGAUAAAUGCACAUCACUGGCAUGUGACUGCUAAAGGAUAAUCAUGCUUUAGAUUCGUUUUUUAUUUACAGUUAAAUAAAAAAGAAUAAACAAA